Spea bombifrons (plains spadefoot toad) is the source of this 595-nucleotide long non-coding RNA. RefSeq lists it as uncharacterized. The record is from RefSeq and is a predicted model, not a curated record. NCBI's taxonomy places the organism in Eukaryota, Metazoa, Chordata, Amphibia, Anura, Pelobatidae. The transcript has 3 exons.
UAAUCUUCUUCAGCAUGUGACAGAAGCUGUAUAGGUUGCACUGGGGAAGGCCCUGAAAACUGCAAAAACUGCACAUCAGGAUAUGUGUUACAGGACAGCAAAUGUACAGAUAUAAAUGAGUGUGAUGGAGAGGAGAAAGUCUGCUUGCGUGACAAUGAAAACUGUACGAACACUCCAGGAAGCUACACAUGUAGUUGUGCUGAUGGUUUUGAAGACAAGGAUGGGGAAUGUGUGGAAGUUGUGAAAAAGGGGGAUGCAGAGGACGAAAAUGAAGCAGCAACUUCAGGCGAAGAUAAAGACUCGGCCAAUGUCCAUGAGGACCUUUGAUGUUCAUGGGUACAUAAAAUGUUGUUAAGUUAUUAACAUCUAAGUCCUUCGUCCCUUGAGUCAAUGUACUGUGGCCACCAUGUGUUUGUUAUUGUGAAUAACAAUUUUGCCAGCAAGUGUUAACAAAUACCUGUUUGUGUGGUAUUCAGAUUGUGAGAGACUUGGAUUUGCCCUAAGAGCUGCCCAUUUCUGUACAAUGUAAAAACAAAACAAAAUGUAUCAUAUUUUGAUACAAUACUUUCUAAUAAACGUAGAUCAUUCUGGUAAA